GAUGAACGCUGGCGGCGUGCCUAAUACAUGCAAGUCGAGCGAACGGACGAGAAGCUUGCUUCUCUGAUGUUAGCGGCGGACGGGUGAGUAACACGUGGAUAACCUACCUAUAAGACUGGGAUAACUUCGGGAAACCGGAGCUAAUACCGGAUAAUAUUUUGAACCGCAUGGUUCAAAAGUGAAAGACGGUCUUGCUGUCACUUAUAGAUGGAUCCGCGCUGCAUUAGCUAGUUGGUAAGGUAACGGCUUACCAAGGCAACGAUGCAUAGCCGACCUGAGAGGGUGAUCGGCCACACUGGAACUGAGACACGGUCCAGACUCCUACGGGAGGCAGCAGUAGGGAAUCUUCCGCAAUGGGCGAAAGCCUGACGGAGCAACGCCGCGUGAGUGAUGAAGGUCUUCGGAUCGUAAAACUCUGUUAUUAGGGAAGAACAUAUGUGUAAGUAACUGUGCGCAUCUUGACGGUACCUAAUCAGAAAGCCACGGCUAACUACGUGCCAGCAGCCGCGGUAAUACGUAGGUGGCAAGCGUUAUCCGGAAUUAUUGGGCGUAAAGCGCGCGUAGGCGGUUUUUUAAGUCUGAUGUGAAAGCCCACGGCUCAACCGUGGAGGGUCAUUGGAAACUGGAAAACUUGAGUGCAGAAGAGGAAAGUGGAAUUCCAUGUGUAGCGGUGAAAUGCGCAGAGAUAUGGAGGAACACCAGUGGCGAAGGCGACUUUCUGGUCUGUAACUGACGCUGAUGUGCGAAAGCGUGGGGAUCAAACAGGAUUAGAUACCCUGGUAGUCCACGCCGUAAACGAUGAGUGCUAAGUGUUAGGGGGUUUCCGCCCCUUAGUGCUGCAGCUAACGCAUUAAGCACUCCGCCUGGGGAGUACGACCGCAAGGUUGAAACUCAAAGGAAUUGACGGGGACCCGCACAAGCGGUGGAGCAUGUGGUUUAAUUCGAAGCAACGCGAAGAACCUUACCAAAUCUUGACAUCCUUUGACAACUCUAGAGAUAGAGCUUUCCCCUUCGGGGGACAAAGUGACAGGUGGUGCAUGGUUGUCGUCAGCUCGUGUCGUGAGAUGUUGGGUUAAGUCCCGCAACGAGCGCAACCCUUAAGCUUAGUUGCCAUCAUUAAGUUGGGCACUCUAAGUUGACUGCCGGUGACAAACCGGAGGAAGGUGGGGAUGACGUCAAAUCAUCAUGCCCCUUAUGAUUUGGGCUACACACGUGCUACAAUGGACAAUACAAAGGGCAGCGAAACCGCGAGGUCAAGCAAAUCCCAUAAAGUUGUUCUCAGUUCGGAUUGUAGUCUGCAACUCGACUACAUGAAGCUGGAAUCGCUAGUAAUCGUAGAUCAGCAUGCUACGGUGAAUACGUUCCCGGGUCU
This 1372-nucleotide ribosomal RNA is filed under the name uncultured bacterium. RNAcentral describes it as "bacterial SSU rRNA". It matches the Rfam family "Bacterial small subunit ribosomal RNA", at positions 28 to 1381 of the family's 1533-position model. The record is from RNAcentral.